ACAAAGUACAAAAAGGAUCUGGACAUUGGCGUGGGAGGAAGACGGGAAUGGGGAUGGGAAGUUUCUGGAAGGAGCGAGACAGGGAGGGACAGGGUUUAGGAGAGGAAGGCGAUGCAACACAGGCGCACCCACUCAGGCUGACUCUCCGGGUCGAGGUCGGGCCAGGGACGGCUGCCCUGGGGGCGAGGCGGCGGCAUCCCUUCCUCCACCUCCCUGCUGAACCGGAGGACAGGAGCCUCAGAUGAAAGAAACUAUCAUAAACCAGGAGAAACUCGCCAAACUGCAGGCACAAGUGCGCAUUGGUGGGAAAGGAACUGCUCGCAGAAAGAAGAAGGUGGUUCAUAGAACAGCCACAGCAGAUGACAAAAAACUUCAGUUCUCUUUAAAGAAGUUAGGGGUAAACAAUAUCUCUGGUAUUGAAGAGGUGAAUAUGUUCACAAAUCAAGGAACAGUGAUCCACUUUAACAACCCUAAAGUUCAGGCAUCUCUGGCAGCAAACACUUUCACCAUUACAGGCCACGCUGAGACAAAGCAACUGACAGAAAUGCUCCCCAGCAUCUUAAACCAGCUUGGUGCCGACAGUCUGACCAGUUUAAGGAGACUGGCUGAAGCUCUGCCCAAACAGUCCGUGGAUGGAAAAGCACCACUUGCCACUGGAGAGGAGGAGGAUGAAGUUCCCGAUCUUGUGGAGAAUGUUGACGAGGCUCCCAGGAACGAAGCACACGGAACUGAGUUAACUUCCGAAGAAGAUGAAUCUUGAGGAAGUUACUGGGAGCUGCUAUUUUAUAUUAUGACUGCUUUUUAAAAUUUUGUUUAUGGAUCUGAUAAAAUCUAGAUCUCUAAUAUUUUUAAGCCUAAGCCCCUGGACACUGCAGCUCUUUUCAGUUUUUGCUUAUAUACAAUUCAUUCUUUGCAGCUAAUGAAGCUGAAGAAGCCUAAGAAUAAAGUUUGAGACAAAGAUAAAUAAAAUUCUUUGCCUAGU
This is a non-coding RNA of Odocoileus virginianus texanus, 982 nucleotides long. Lineage: Eukaryota; Metazoa; Chordata; Mammalia; Artiodactyla; Cervidae. The record is from RefSeq and is a predicted model, not a curated record.